AAGGAGCUGUGGACUGCAUGGAAGAGAGAAUGCCGGAAUGAGUAGCGAGAUAGAGGUGGGAAUCCUCUAGGCCGAAUAUCCAAGGUUUCCAGGGUAAAGCUGAUCUGCCCUGGGUGAGUCGGGACCUAAGGUGAGGGCGAGAGCCGUAGCCGAUGGACAACAGGUUGAUAUUCCUGUACUGCAGUAUGACAGAACUGUGGGGACACGUAAGGAGAGCGGGAGCCGGGAAUGGAAAGCCCGGUACAAGCGAGGUACCAGUCACAUAGGAAAAUCCGUGUGGCAAUGGGAAGACGUGAUGUGGAGUGAAUUUUAGUAACGAAGCCCGUGAGCCAUGCGUCAAGAAAAGCCGCUAUCGUUCAUAUUGUACCCGUACCGUAAACCGACACAGGUGGAUGAGGAGAGAAUCCUAAGGCCGGCGGAAGAAGUAUUGCCAAGGAACUCGGCAAAAUGGCCCCGUAACUUAGGGAGAAGGGGUGCCUGCGAGAGCAGGCCGCAGAGAAUAGGCUCAAGCAACUGUUUAGCAAAAACACAGGUCUAUGCGAAACCGAAAGGUGAGGUAUAUGGGCUGACGCCUGCCCGGUGCUGGAAGGUUAAGAGGAGAGGUUAGCGCAAGCGAAGCUUUGAAUUUAAGCCCCAGUAAACGGCGGCCGUAACUAUAACGGUCCUAAGGUAGCGAAAUUCCUUGUCGGGUAAGUUCCGACCCGCACGAAAGGCGUAAUGAUUUGAGCGCUGUCUCGGCAAUACAUCCGGUGAAAUUGAAGUGCCAGUGAAGAUGCUGGCUACCCGCGCCAGGACGGAAAGACCCCAUGGAGCUUUACUCCAGUUUGGCACUGGGGUCCGGUGUUGCAUGUACAGGAUAGGUGGGAGGCUGAGAAACGGUAACGUCAGUUGCCGCGGAGCCGCUGUUGGGAUACCACCCUUGUGAUAUUGGGCUUCUAACCAGCCGCCGUAAUCCGGCGGUGGGACAAUGCCAGGCGGGGAGUUUGACUGGGGCGGUCGCCUCCGAAAGGGUAUCGGAGGCGCCCAAAGGUUCCCUCAGAAUGGACGGAAACCAUUCGAAGAGUGCAAAGGCAGAAGGGAGCUUGACUGCGACACCGACG
Molecule: ribosomal RNA, 1100 nt
Filed under: human gut metagenome
Description: bacterial LSU rRNA
Rfam family: Bacterial large subunit ribosomal RNA
Source: RNAcentral